UCGGGGCUGUCGAGGUUGCUCCUCACGCCUUUUGCACUGGACAUGGGAGUGUCAGCUGUCACUGCCCAUGCCGCUGCAGCGUGUCGCGUGAUCAGCAUGGCUGAGGGUUAGGGUUGUGUGCUGGUCAUUAAUCACAUGCUGUGUAUGAACUCUUGACAACGUGUUUUGAAAUAAUAGAGAGAGCAAAAGCCUUUUGACUGCGGCGAGAAAAGUAUGGGCGCCUGAUCUGAGAGAGUAGCUGUACAAUUCGGUCUCGUCGAGAUAUCCGUGAACGCGACCAAGUUUUGGUUGCUAUAGAGAAUCUUACUCAGAAAGCGGCGAAGACUCUGGUGAAUACGAAAGCGCUGCGAUUAUGGCAAGGGUAAUGAUUUCAGUUGGUUCUGGAGACGACGAGGGGUUGGCAUUGAUAUAUAGUUGCAGACAGUUUGGAUCCAUGAGACCUUUCAUUGUGCGUUGAGGUCCAGGGGCUCUACGGUGAGGGGAACGUAAGCUUCAUUCAAGUAUUGCGAGGAGGUGCUCUGUCAGAGUCGUUUUCGGAGUGACGGUGAUGGAGUCGGUUGCCUUGGUUGAUGGUGGGAAGUUCCCGCUGCCUUCGUGCGUGGAUUACAACGAGGGUCAGCAUUUUGUGGUGCUUGACGAAAAUGGACGACCUCAACAUGUUUCUUUGCCACAAGAAUACGCAGACUCCAUCAAAAGUACGGAACUAUGCUUUAAAGAUCACAGGACACAGGAUGCCUCAGCUGGCGUGUGCUAUCUUCAGGAAGCAGGGUAUUUCCACCCACACGUGCACCGUGGCGAGGACAUUCAGGACAUUCCAUUGGAACAGUGUAUCGACGAGCAUUGCAUGGAAAAGUCGGGUUGUGCAUUACCUGUACUUCGCGAGCUGUCAGACCUAUGUCAGACAGUACUACCAGUGGUCGACAUAGACCAUGAGCAUAAAGAGGGCUGUGGACACUCUCAGAUACGUCACGGAGACCAUUUUGAUUGGCUUGUACCUCUUAACGACGGUUCUUUUUCUCUGAGUCACCCUCAAGUUCAAAAUGGACAUGAGCGCGGUUUUAUUGAACACGGUCGAUUAAUCAACAGAGGUAAAACUGUAGCGAAGUUGAAACUGCGGCCGACUCUUGUGGACCUCUUCAGCUACGAAAGUCCCAAGCAGACAGGUUACGAGAGCCUUCCACAAUGUGCUGAAGAUGUACAAGCCCAUGAGAGGGAUGGUUUUGCAAUUGCGAAAGGACAGUUGGACGAAAAAUGUACACUCAUGCCUUUCGCUAGUGUAGGGCGAAACCUAGUUCAAGAAGGCAUGACGAAGGUGGACAUUCCUGUUAAUUUUGGUGGUGCGUUAUGUAAAACGAAGCUCGAUGUCAUGGGAAUCUGCUGUCCAAGUGAAGUUCCAUUGAUCAAGAAAUUGUUAGCCCCACUAACUGGUGUUGAGGACGUUUCUGUAAACGUCACAGCCAAGACUGUGCUUGUUCUGCAUGAUCCAUUGUUAAUCUCGGACGUUCAGCUUGUGAAGGUUCUGAACGGAGCACAUUUGGAUGCCAGUAUACAUCAGCGUGGUGAAUUGAAAGGUGGUCGCAACUGGCCAAGUCCAUGGUGCCUAGGUUCUGGUAUCUUAUUAGCGAUUGCAUUCUUCAAGUACUUAUACGAACCGAUGCAUUGGGUUGCUCUUGGGGCUGUUGCUGUGGGAGUGCCACCGAUAGUUGUGAAGGCAAUUGCCGCACUAAGGAAGUUUUUUCUCGACAUCAACAUUCUCAUGCUUAUUGCAGUAAGUGGGGCUAUUGCAUUACAAGAUUAUUUGGAGGCUGGCACCAUCGUCUUUCUGUUCACGCUCGCAGAGUGGUUAGAAACAAGAUCUACAUCUAAGGCUCGUUCGGCAAUAGCUUCUGUAGUUGAUCGUGCACCACAGAAUGCCAUGCUGGUAGAUGGAGGGAUGCGAGUGCGUGUGGAGGAGGUGGCAGUUGGAACCUUACUUUCUGUAAAGACCGGAGAGGCGAUCCCAAUUGAUGGAGAAGUCCUAUCAGGUCGAGGCUUAGUGGAUGAAAGUAGCUUGACUGGUGAAUCAGUACCGGUGGAGAAAGAGACGGAAGCCUUUGUAUGGGCUGGAACAACGAUCUUGUCAGGAUAUCUGACAAUCAAAACCACAGCUCUGUCAGCUGACUCUGCCGUGGCAAGAAUGGUGAAGCUUGUGGAAGAGGCACAACAUCAGCGCUCCAAUACUGAAUUGCUGGUGGAGAAAAUAGCGAAGUACUAUACCCCCGGUGUUGUCAUAGCGGCUCUUGUAAUCGGAAUCGCUCCCUGGGCGAGUGGAGUUCACAAUCCUACUCAUUAUGUGUAUCUCGCACUGGUUCUUCUUGUGGUGGCAUGCCCUUGUGCCUUGGUCAUAUCAACCCCUGUGGUUAUCACAUGUGGAAUUGCCCAGGCUGCGCGUUUAGGGUUGUUGGUGAAAGGUGGUACAUAUUUGGAGGUACUUGGCAGGUUGAAAGUUAUGGCCUUCGAUAAAACUGGAACUUUAUCUGAAGGCCAGUUUUGUGUAUACAGUAUGCUCCCUAUUGAUGGUAUCUCCACUCUGAAAGAGGUUUUGUACUGGACAACGAGUGUAGAAAAUAAAGCAAGUCAUCCAUUGGCAGCAGCAAUUGUUACCUACGCACGCCUCAAGGGGGUAGAACCGUCAGAAAAUGUCGCUAACUUUGAGGUGAUUGCGGGAGAGGGAGUUUCCGCAGAAGUUGAUGGGCAUACCAUUCACAUAGGAAAUGCGCGAAUGGCAGCUCGAUUUGGGUGGGAUACAGCUGCUGCUGUCGAAACACUAGCGAAUUGGAGCAGUUCUGGAGCAACAGUUGGUUGGGUAGGUCUCGACGGAAUUGCAAUCGGAAUUUUCAGUGUCGGAGACAAACUACGAUCAGAAGCUGCCGAAGCGGUCAGAGAACUGAAGAAACUUGGUAUUCGGGUUGCAAUGCUUACUGGUGACAGCAAUGCAGCUGCUGUUAAAGUACAAAAUAAGAUUGGUGAAAUGGACGUAUACGCAGAAUUGAUACCUGAGGACAAGGUUCGGAUAAUUAAAGAAUUAAAACAUCAUGGUACUAUAGCAAUGGUGGGGGAUGGCAUCAAUGAUGCACCUGCAUUGGCAACCGCUGAUGUGGGAAUUGCAAUGGGUGUAGCUGGCUCGGCUGUUGCGAUGGAAACUGCUGACGUAGCUUUGAUGACAAAUGAUCUUCGAAAGCUGGCAGCUGCAGUGCGGCUGGGACUGGACUGUCGAUGGAAGAUUGCGCAAAACAUCACCUUCAGUUUCGCGACUAAAUUGCUUAUUAUCGGUCUGGUGGCGGGAGGAUAUGCUUCUUUGUGGGGUGGGGUAGUGGCAGAUGUAGGAACUUGUCUGGCAGUCAUCUUCAACAGCAGACGUAUCUUGAAGAAAGUCGAGCACCAGGCUCAAGAUAAUUGUAUUUCAGAAAAUUUAGCGUUUGACAAGGAAACCAAAAGCUAUCACAGUGGUUGCUGUGUAAAAGGGGAAGGAAAUAUGGAAGAAAAGGCCUUUACAAGUACAAACAUAAAGGCCCCUGUUAUUUCACACAAGCCCAAAGUAAGGUUCUCCUGGUUGCACAAACACAAUCAACAACAAAAUCACCACCACCACCACCUCCAUCAUCAACACCAUGAAAAGAAGGAGAAAUGUGAGGAAGACGAUUUUUGUUGUGCAGAUAAGGAAUACCGACCUCCAUGUUGCUCUAGUGCCAGAUGUGAGAAGAUUGUUCUUACUUCUAGAGGGAAAGGGCACAAGCAUGGAAACAAUGUUGGAGGGUUUGACAGGACAAAGGGUGAAAGAAUAAGUGCGGGUUUCUGCGAGAGCCAUAGUUGUAGUAAUGUCCCGUUAGAUCCGACGGUUCAGGUUAUGCAUAAAGAUUGCGAUCCUAUCAAAAAGUGUUUGCCAGAAGAGAUAGAAGUCCAGAACAUUGAAUUUAUUCGGAUGCCACGAACUUCAGAGAAAGAUGCUGGGUGCUGUUCUAGUGACACUUGCAACAGCCGAAGCACACUAUUUCAAGGUGCUCUUCUUGAGGCAGAUUUCUGUGAAGAAAAUUGUGAGGGGAGGCUCUUAACUAAAUCUCAGCGAAGGGAUAAUAUGGGCCAUUCCGGCGUCGUCAACAAGGAGCAAGUUUCAGAAUAUUGCUCAAUUAGGAGCUGUAAACAUUCUUCAUCCACAAAGACUCCAUCUACAUUAGAAGUCAGGGAGGAUUCAAAUCAACGCAGUAGCCCCAGUUCUAUUACGACAUACUCUAUAUGUUGCUCAAGUGAUAGCUGCAAGGUUUCUUCAAACAGGAAUGUGAUGUCACUUAUUACAGAAGUAAGCAAGGAUUCGAAUUCAGGUGGUUCUACAAAUGAAGCUGUGAAGCUGGCAGUUGGAUACUGUGGGAAUAGUAACGGCAACUCAUCUAAUUGUGAUGGAGAAGCGUCACCUGCAAACUUGGCUGUAGUGGGGUUAUCUGCAGCUAACGAACAGACAUCAAAGCCCGUGACAGGCUCACCGGACUCGUGCUGUGCCGAUCUAUCAACUAAAAUUGUGUGCCAAUAAAUCCUUCUGUCUUGUAUUAUUAAAUUCUGAAUUGUGGUAUACUGGGUAAGUUAUCACUCUGCUGUAAGUACGCAUCAAUCAUGGGUCUCACUCAUAUCGAAACAGUACUCCCAGACUGAAUUCCAUUCAAACCUUGAACUAAAUUAUCCUCUCCACCUUGACUAUUCUGUAACAUAACGAGAGAUGGAAUUUCACACUACGAAGGCUGUUUUUUGUAUUGUUUUAUUGCAAAUGAGCUUGCCUGGGAGGCAACAUGUGAACCUGUAUGGAAGGAAUCUCAUUCCCAAAAGGCCACUGUGGUAGAUUAUUCGUGGUGGUGAGGAAAGCUAACGCCGCGCCCAGCGUGGAUGCAAGAUGACGGCGCCACCAGCUAGCGAUGAGGGCACCACAAUCUAGAAUUGCUCAAUCGGCCACCGAAGAGGAACUGAUCGUUGCAAAUCUUCUUCACCUUCUUCGGGUGGAAAGCGUCCCAGAACACCAACUUAGUUCUGUCGGGGCUCGGGCGUGAGAUGGUGCGGCACGCCCUGUCGAUGCCGUUGUAUUUGCCCACGCCGAAGCAGGCCGUGGACACUGGAUCUGUGAAUCCUGCACACAGAAAGCGAAACGAUGAUGGAUGAUGGUUGGCUGUGUGGAAGUUCGUGGAGGAGAGUCUGAGAAUUGCAUUUCAGGGGGGAAACCAGUUUUUUUUUUUUUUUUUUUUUUUUUUUUGGAUUUACCGUGUUGCAAGGGGUUAUCGAUGAUGGCCUUGACGACGGCGUAGGCAUUAGUGUAGAGGAAGAUGGAGUUGGAAAGUUCGGCUCCCAGGCUCUCCAGCAUGGGCUUCAAGGCGGCAUUGAAUCCUAUGGCGUAAUUGUUCACCUCUUCGACGCAUUCCCCCUUCUGGCUCCUCUGCGACAGGACUGAAGGUGCACACCCAAUGGGACCGAUGUUGGAGAUGAUGGACUUCCGCAUCCCCAAAUCGUAGCCAGUCUGCAAUUGCGACCUUAAUCCAAUUAAAAAUUGUGUACUGCAAAUUAUUAAGUCAAGAAAUUCCCCAAUUCACGUUC
Physcomitrium patens is the source of this 5610-nucleotide non-coding RNA. The record is from RefSeq and is a predicted model, not a curated record. Lineage: Eukaryota; Viridiplantae; Streptophyta; Bryopsida; Funariales; Funariaceae.